RNAcentral lists this ribosomal RNA (468 nucleotides) under uncultured bacterium. RNAcentral describes it as "partial 16S ribosomal RNA". It matches the Rfam family "Bacterial small subunit ribosomal RNA", at positions 28 to 507 of the family's 1533-position model. The record is from RNAcentral.
GACGAACGCUGGCGGCGUGCUUAACACAUGCAAGUCGAACGGAAAGGCCCUGCUUUUGUGGGGUGCUCGAGUGGCGAACGGGUGAGUAACACGUGAGUAACCUGCCCUUGACUUUGGGAUAACUUCAGGAAACUGGGGCUAAUACCGGAUAGGAGCUCCUGCUGCAUGGUGGGGGUUGGAAAGUUUCGGCGGUUGGGGAUGGACUCGCGGCUUAUCAGCUUGUUGGUGGGGUAGUGGCUUACCAAGGCUUUGACGGGUAGCCGGCCUGAGAGGGUGACCGGCCACAUUGGGACUGAGAUACGGACCAGAAUCCUACGGGAGGCAGAAGUGGGGAAUAUUGCAGAAUGGGCGGAAGCCUGAUGCAGAAACGCCGCGUGCGGGAUGACGGCCUUCGGGUUGUAAACCGAUUUCGAAUGUGACGAAGAGUGAGUGACGGUAAUGGGUAAAGAAGCAACGGCUAACUACGUG